This 72-nucleotide transfer RNA is filed under the name Datura stramonium (jimsonweed). RNAcentral's name for it is "tRNA-Glu". It matches the Rfam family "tRNA". Rfam says of the family: Transfer RNA (tRNA) molecules are approximately 80 nucleotides in length. Their secondary structure includes four short double-helical elements and three loops (D, anti-codon, and T loops). Further hydrogen bonds mediate the characteristic L-shaped molecular structure. tRNAs have two regions of fundamental functional importance: the anti-codon, which is responsible for specific mRNA codon recognition, and the 3' end, to which the tRNAs corresponding amino acid is attached (by aminoacyl-tRNA synthetases). tRNAs cope with the degeneracy of the genetic code in two manners: having more than one tRNA (with a specific anti-codon) for a particular amino acid; and 'wobble' base-pairing, i.e. permitting non-standard base-pairing at the 3rd anti-codon position. The record is from RNAcentral. Lineage: Eukaryota; Viridiplantae; Streptophyta; Magnoliopsida; Solanales; Solanaceae.
GUACCUUUCGUACAGUGGUUAGGACAUCGUCUUUUCAUGUUGAAGACACGGGUUCGAUUCUCGUAAGGGAUA